GAUAAAUUGGACGAUAGCAUACGGAAACUAGCGGAAAAUUCCUUAAACGCAAUGGGCCAGGUGCUGAACUCCCUUGAACGUUAAGGAAGGAAGGUCAUCGCACAAUGAACAACGAAAUGAAAGUGUGUAUUAACGAAAGACGUUCGACAACGCCUUCAACACCAUGGAGAAUUGUACUUCGUUUACCGUGGAAGCGUUGUAAUCGCCGAGGCAAUCCGCCUCAAUCGUCCAGUUAAAAUAAAUACGACGUGAGUGCUGUCGCGAUAUUUUGUAUGUUUAUAUGCUUGUUUGCUCUUUUUCAACCGUUUUCGUCCUCUAGAGCCUGAAUAUUCGUAUAGUAUUAACUAAUUUAUCAACAGUAAGCAUAUAUUAGAAUGUAAUCCUUCACGCUCUCUUUGUUCUGCUUUUCUGCGCUUCUCUUUCUUCCCUUCGUUAAUGGCUUCGUGUAACUGUUGCACAUCUGCGGGGGCGACACCCUCGCCCCUCGUUGUUUUGUAUGUGUUUGUGUUAAAAUAAAGUUGAGUCACAGUGAUACCAGCGCUCGGGUCCAUCCUCUGGGCCUAUAUAAGCGGCAGCCUGGUCCACUGUAGGCAGUUCGUCUUCAGGAAA
This is a long non-coding RNA of Ornithodoros turicata, 609 nucleotides long. RefSeq lists it as uncharacterized. NCBI's taxonomy places the organism in Eukaryota, Metazoa, Arthropoda, Arachnida, Ixodida, Argasidae. The transcript has 2 exons. The record is from RefSeq and is a predicted model, not a curated record.